Molecule: ribosomal RNA, 433 nt
Filed under: uncultured bacterium
Lineage: Bacteria
Description: partial 16S ribosomal RNA
Rfam family: Bacterial small subunit ribosomal RNA
Source: RNAcentral
AGCGAACGCUGGCGGCAGGCCUAACACAUGCAAGUCGAACGAACCUGUCGGGGUUAGGGGCGGUCGGGGGGGGAACACGUGGGAACGUGCCUGUAGGUUCGGUAUAACUCAGGGAAACUUGUGCUAAUACCGCAUGUGCCCUUAGGGGGAAAGAUUAAUCGCCUUUGGCGCGGCCCGGGUCUGAUUAGCUGGUUGGGUGAGGUAAUGGCGCACCAAGGCGACGAUCAGGAGCUGGUGUGAGAGCAGGCUCAGCCACAUUGGGACAGAGACACGGCCCAAACUCCUGCGGGAGGCAGCAGUGGGGAAUCUUGCGCCGUGGGCGAAAGCCUGAAGCAGCCAUGCCGCGUGAAUGACCAACGUCUUAGGAUUGUAAAAUUCUUUCACCGGGGACGAUAUGGCCGGUACCCGGAGAAGAAGCCCCGGCUACCUUCGU